ACCAGACUCCUACGGGAGGCAGCAGUGGGGGAUAUUGCACAAUGGGGGGAACCCUGAUGCAGCGACGCCGCGUGGGUGAAGAAGCGCCUCGGCGCGUAAAGCCCUGUCAGCAGGGAAGAAAAUGACGGUACCUGAAGAAGAAGCCCCGGCUAACUACGUGCCAGCAGCCGCGGUAAUACGUAGGGGGCAAGCGUUAUCCGGAUUUACUGGGUGUAAAGGGGGCGCAGACGGCGAUGCAAGCCAGGAGUGAAAGCCCGGGGCCCAACCCCGGGACUGCUCUUGGAACUGCGUGGCUGGAGUGCAGGAGGGGCAGGCGGAAUUCCUGGUGUAGCGGUGAAAUGCGUAGAUAUCAGGAGGAACACCGGUGGCGAAGGCGGCCUGCUGGACUGCAACUGACGUUGAGGCCCGAAAGCGUGGGGAGCAAACAGGAUUAGAUCCCCUAGUA
This 445-nucleotide ribosomal RNA is filed under the name uncultured bacterium. RNAcentral describes it as "bacterial SSU rRNA". It matches the Rfam family "Bacterial small subunit ribosomal RNA", at positions 330 to 792 of the family's 1533-position model. The record is from RNAcentral.